Molecule: ribosomal RNA, 262 nt
Filed under: uncultured Staphylococcus sp.
Lineage: Bacteria; Bacillati; Bacillota; Bacilli; Caryophanales; Staphylococcaceae
Description: partial 16S ribosomal RNA
Rfam family: Bacterial small subunit ribosomal RNA
Source: RNAcentral
CGGACGGGUGAGUAACACGUGGAUAACCUACCUAUAAGACUGGGAUAACUUCGGGAAACCGGAGCUAAUACCGGAUAAUAUAUUGAACCGCAUGGUUCAAUGGUGAAAGACGGUUUUGCUGUCACUUAUAGAUGGAUCCGCGCCGCAUUAGCUAGUUGGUAAGGUAACGGCUUACCAGGCAACGAUGCGUAGCCGACCUGAGAGGGUGAUCGGCCACACUGGAACUGAGACACGGUCCAGACUCCUACGGGAGGCAGCAGCC